AGUUGCCAGCAUUCAGUUGGGCACUCUAAGGUGACUGCCGGCUAAAAGUCGGAGGAAGGUGGGGAUGACGUCAAAUCAUCAUGCCCCUUAUGACCUGGGCUACACACGUGCUACAAUGGGCGGUACAAAGGGUCGCGAACCCGCGAGGGGGGAGCCAAUCCCAAAAAAGCCGCUCUCAGUUCGGAUUGCAGGCUGCAACUCGCCUGCAUGAAGCCGGAAUCGCUAGUAAUCGCGGAUCAGCAUGCCCGCGGUCGAAUACGUUCCCGGGCCUU
Molecule: ribosomal RNA, 272 nt
Filed under: uncultured Anoxybacillus sp.
Lineage: Bacteria; Bacillati; Bacillota; Bacilli; Caryophanales; Anoxybacillaceae
Description: partial 16S ribosomal RNA
Rfam family: Bacterial small subunit ribosomal RNA
Source: RNAcentral